This 345-nucleotide unclassified non-coding RNA is filed under the name soil metagenome. RNAcentral describes it as "partial contains 5.8S ribosomal RNA, internal transcribed spacer 2, and large subunit ribosomal RNA". The stretch from base 1 to 120 matches the Rfam family "5.8S ribosomal RNA", at positions 35 to 154 of the family's 154-position model. The record is from RNAcentral.
GAUGAAGAACGUAGCAAAAUGCGAUAAGUAAUGUGAAUUGCAGAAUUCAGUGAAUCAUCGAAUCUUUGAACGCACAUUGCGCCCGCCAGUAUUCUGGCGGGCAUGCCUGUUCGAGCGUCAUUUCAACCCUCAAGCCCCCGGGUUUGGUGUUGGGGAUCGGCGAGCCUCACGGCAAGCCGGCCCCGAAAUACAGUGGCGGUCUCGCUGCAGCUUCCAUUGCGUAGUAGUAAAACCCUCGCAACUGGUACGCGGCGUGGCCAAGCCGUUAAACCCCCAACUUCUGAAUGUUGACCUCGGAUCAGGUAGGAAUACCCGCUGAACUUAAGCAUAUCAAUAAGCGGAGGA